RNAcentral lists this ribozyme (190 nucleotides) under Anopheles gambiae (African malaria mosquito). RNAcentral describes it as "drz-agam-2-2 ribozyme". It matches the Rfam family "drz-agam-2-2 ribozyme". Lineage: Eukaryota; Metazoa; Arthropoda; Insecta; Diptera; Culicidae. The record is from Rfam by way of RNAcentral.
AGCAAUACCUCGCUGAUACGAGGGUAGAUCCGAAGCCUCUAGAAAAUUAACAUAGGCUCUCCACCUCCUACUCCUACUCAAUACGUUCCCGUCGUACAGAAUGGUAACAUGUCUAUCAAUUAUCCAAGCUUGGGUAUACGGGGAAACCCAAUCCCUUGCGAGGAUGGAUUGCAUGGUAAUAUUGAGAGAG